AGAGUUUGAUCCUGGCUCAGGACGAACGCUGGCGGCGUGCUUAACACAUGCAAGUCGAACGAGGCAGCGGCCUUCGGGCCGCUGUCGAGUGGCGAACGGGUGAGUAACACGUGAGGAACCUGCCCCGGAGACCGGGAUAACCAGGGGAAACCCUGGCUAAUACCGGAUGCCCUCGGAUGGUCGCAUGGCCGACCGAGGAAAUGCUCAGGUGCUCCGGGAGGGCCUCGCGGCCUAUCAGCUAGUUGGCGGGGUAACGGCCCACCAAGGCAUCGACGGGUAGCUGGUCUGAGAGGACGAUCAGCCACACUGGGACUGAGACACGGCCCAGACUCCUACGGGAGGCAGCAGUGGGGAAUAUUGCGCAAUGGGCGAAAGCCUGACGCACCAACGCCGCGUGGGGGAUGAAAUGCCUUCGGGUUGUAAACCCCUUUCAGCAGGACGAAAAUGACGGUACCUGCAAAAAAAGCCCCGCAACUACGUGCCAGCAGCCGCGUAACACGUAGGGGGCGAGCGUUGUUCCGGAUUUAUUGGGCGUAAAAAGCUCGUAGGCAGUUUCGUAAGUCGAUUUAAAACUCAGGGCUCACCGAAACCCCUUCCAAUACUGCCCUUGACUAGAGUCGGUAGGGGAGCAUGGAAUUCCUGGGGUAGCGGUGAAAUGCCAAAUUUCAGGAGGAAACCAGUAGCGAAGGCGGUGCUCUGGGCCGGUACUGACGCUGAGGAGCGAAAGCAUGGGUAGCAAACAGGAUUAGAUACCCUGGUAGUCCAUGCCGUAAACGUUGGGCACUAGGUGUGGGACCUACUUAACGGGUUCCGUGCCGUAGCUAACGCAUUAAGUGCCCCGCCUGGGGAGUACGGCCGCAAGGCUAAAACUCAAAGGAAUUGACGGGGGCCCGCACAAGCGGCGGAGCAUGUUGCUUAAUUCGAGGCAACGCGAAGAACCUUACCUGGGUUUGACAUGUAGGGAAAAGCCAUAGAGAUAUGGUUUCCUUUCAGGGACUUUGGGCAGGUGUUGUUUGGCAGUCGUCAGCUCGUGUCUUGAGAUGUUAGGGUAAAUUCCCGCAACGAGGGCAACCCUUGUCCUAUAUGCCAGCACGUAAAGGUGGGGACUAGUAGGAGACUGCCGCAGUCAACUCGGACGAAGGUGGUGACGACGUCAAGUCAUCAUGCCCCUUAUGCCCAGGGCUGCAAACAUGCUACAAUGGCCGGUACAAAGGGCUGCUACACCGCGAGGUUGAGCGAAUCCCACAAAGCCGGUCUCAGUUCGGAUUGGAGUCUGCAACUCGACUCCAUGAAGUCGGAGUCGCUAGUAAUCCCGGAUCAGCAAUGCCGGGGUGAAUACGUUCCCGGGCCUUGUACACACCGCCCGUCACACCACGAAAGUCGGCAACACCCGAAGUCAGUGGCCUAACCCUCCGGGGAAGGAGCUGCCGAGGGUGGGGUUGGCGAUUGGGGUGAAGUCGUAACAAGGUAGCCGUA
RNAcentral lists this ribosomal RNA (1476 nucleotides) under uncultured Actinomycetes bacterium. RNAcentral's name for it is "bacterial SSU rRNA". It matches the Rfam family "Bacterial small subunit ribosomal RNA". Lineage: Bacteria; Bacillati; Actinomycetota; Actinomycetes. The record is from RNAcentral.